GCCAGGCAUGGUGGCGCAUGCCUGUAAUCCCAGCUACUUGGGAGGCUGAGACAGGAGAAUUGCAUGAACCCAGGAGGUGGAAGUUGCAGUGAGCUGAGAUCGUGCCACUGCACUCCAGCCUGGGUGGCAAAGCAAGACUGCAUAUAAAAUAUAUAUAUAUAGGAGGCCGAGGCAGGAGGAUUGCUGGAGUCCGGGAGGUAGAGGCUGCAGUGAGCUGCGAUCACACUGCUGCAAUCCAGCCUGGGUGACAGAGCAAGACCCUGUGUCAA
Molecule: signal recognition particle RNA, 269 nt
Filed under: Nomascus leucogenys (northern white-cheeked gibbon)
Lineage: Eukaryota; Metazoa; Chordata; Mammalia; Primates; Hylobatidae
Description: Metazoan signal recognition particle RNA
Rfam family: Metazoan signal recognition particle RNA
About the family: The signal recognition particle (SRP) is a universally conserved ribonucleoprotein.
Source: Rfam by way of RNAcentral